This 408-nucleotide ribosomal RNA is filed under the name uncultured bacterium. Its description in RNAcentral is "partial 16S ribosomal RNA". It matches the Rfam family "Bacterial small subunit ribosomal RNA", at positions 28 to 526 of the family's 1533-position model. The record is from RNAcentral.
GACGAACGCUGGCGGCGUGCCUAAUACAUGCAAGUCGACCUUAGUGGCGAACGGGUGAGUAACACGUGGGUAACCUGCCCAUCAGAAGGGGAUAACACUUGGAAACAGGUGCUAAUACCGUAUACUGAUGGAUGGACCCGCGGUGCAUUAGCUAGUUGGUGAGGUAACGGCUCACCAAGGCCACGAUGCAUAGCCGAACGGAGAGGGUGAGCGGCCACAUGGGGACUGAGACACGGCUCAGAAGACUCGUGGAGGCAUCAGUAGGGAAUCGUUGGCAAUGGACUAAAGUCUGACCGAGAAACGACGCGGGAGGGAAGAAGGGUGUCGGACCGUAAAACUCGUUUGUUAGAGAAGCGGGAGCUAACCAGAAAGCCACGGCUAACUACGGGCAAGCAGCCGCGGUAAUAC